Molecule: ribosomal RNA, 320 nt
Filed under: uncultured Pseudomonadota bacterium
Lineage: Bacteria; Pseudomonadati; Pseudomonadota
Description: bacterial SSU rRNA
Rfam family: Bacterial small subunit ribosomal RNA
Source: RNAcentral
AUUGAACGUUGGCGGCAGGCUUAACACAUGCAAGUCGAACGAGAAAGUCCCUUCGGGGGCGAGUACAGUGGCGGACGGGUGAGUAACGCGUAGGAAUCUGCCUGGUAGUGGGGGAUAACUCGGGGAAACUCGAGCUAAUACCGCAUACGUCCUACGGGAGAAAGCAGGGGACCUUCGGGCCUUGCGCUAUCAGAUGAGCCUAGGUCGGAUUAGCUAGUUGGUGAGGUAAUGGCUCACCAAGGCGACGAUCCGUAACUGGUCUGAGAGGAUGAUCAGUCACACUGGAACUGAGACACGGUCCAGACUCCUACGGGAGGCAG